RNAcentral lists this ribosomal RNA (1084 nucleotides) under Nanosynbacter sp. Its description in RNAcentral is "Candidatus Nanosynbacter sp. partial 23S ribosomal RNA". It matches the Rfam family "Bacterial large subunit ribosomal RNA", at positions 181 to 1270 of the family's 2925-position model. The record is from RNAcentral. Lineage: Bacteria; Bacillati; Minisyncoccota; Nanosynbacteria; Nanosynbacterales; Nanosynbacteraceae.
CACCCGAUGAACUGAAACAUCUAAGUAGUCGGAGGAAAAGAAAUCAAAGAGAUUCCCUGAGUAGCGGCGAGCGAAACGGGAGGAGCCCAAACCUGAGGACUUCGGUUCUUAGGGGUUGCGGACCUGCAACAAGACAUAAGCUUUAGUGGAAGCAUCUGGGAAGGUGCGGCGAAGAGAGUGAGACCCUCGUACACGAAAGAGUGAGUGUUGGGCAGGGAUCCAGAGUACCACAGGGCACGAGGAACCCGGUGGGAAGCAGGGUGGACCACCAUCCAAGGCUAAAUACAUCGAAACGACCGAUAGCGAUGAGUACCGUGAGGGAAAGGUGAAAAGAACCCCGGGAGGGGAGUGCAAUAGAACCUGAAACCGUAUGUCUACAAACAGUCGGAGCACUUUAGAUGUGCGACGGCGUGCCUAUUGAAGAAUGAACCGGCGAGUUAAUUUAUGCUGCGAGGUUAAGCGGGAGACGCGGAGCCGAAGCGAAAGCGAGUCUUAAGAGGGCGGCAGUAGCAUGGAUUAGACCCGAAACCACAGUGAUCUAUGCAUGUCCAGGUUGAAGCUCAGGUAAAAAUGAGUGGAGGACCGAACCCGUGCGUGUUGAAAAACGUUGGGAUGAGGUGUGCAUAGGGGUGAAAUGCCAAUCGAACGUGGAGAUAGCUGGUUCUCCCCGAAAUAGCUUUAGGGCUAGCCUCAGGCGAAUAACCAUAGAGACGGUAGAGCACUGAUCGGGCAAGGGGGCGUAAAGCCUACCGACCCCAGUCAAACUACGAAUGGCUCAUAUGGGCAGCCUGGGAGUCAGAAUGCGAGUGAUAAGACCCGUAUUCAAGAGGGAAACAGCCCAGACCGCCGGCUAAGGUCCCAAAUGCUGUGCUAAGUGGAGAAGGAUGUAGGACUUCGAAAACAACCAGGAUGUUGGCUCAGAAGCAGCCACCAUUAAAAGAGUGCGUAAUAGCUCACUGGUCGAGAGGCCCUGCGCCGAAAAUAUCCGGGGCUCAAGCACAGAACCGAAGCCGCGGCAGGGUGUACUAUGGGACACACUGGGUAGGGGAGCGUUCUUAUCUGGACGAAGGCAGACCGGAAGGAC